UUUGAAGGGUAUGCCCGGAAGUUUUUAUGUCUUCAUGCUAGUAAACUUCAAAGUGGUAUAAGCUUUUCCACUGAUUGCCACGUCGAGCUCUGUGAGUAACAGCAGGUUUUUAAAUUACUGUACUUUUUCCUUUAACAAACCUGACGUCUGGGAGAAACACUAGAAGAGGGAGCCAAAACAAAUUUGUCUGCGUGGAACUGUUAACAACUUGGACUCUGCCUGUUCCUGUGAGCACAGCAAGGACAGAGUGAGCAGUCGUUGAGAUAUCAUGAGGCAACUCAAAGGCAAACCCAAAAAAGAAACGUCCAAGGACAAGAAGGAACGUAAGCAGGCCAUGCAGGAAGCCCGACAGCAGGUGGCCACUAUAGUACUGCCUACACUAGCUGUAGUGGUGCUGCUCAUUGUUGUCUUUGUCUAUGUGGCCACCAGGCCUGGUGCUAUAGAGUAGACAUUGAAGUUCUACUAAGAAGACAUGAACUCCUAGACUAACGGGCUCUGAAAACUGACAAUGGCUAUACCCAAAGGAUUACCCCCAUCAUGUGACAACCUGUCUGACAGCCACCCCUAAACUGUGUUUCUUUGCUUUAAGAAAGAUUCAAGCUGCAGAAAGAAGAAAUCAAACUGAGCAGAGAAACAAUUGCUCCUUAGUGCCUUCAGAUAACAUCAUCAACAUCCAUUUAAUACUGUUCAUUUUAGAGCAGUACAUGUAUUAUUGUUGAUGUCUUACAAAAUUAUGCAAUAUCAUGCAUACCAAAAGACUCGUGCACAGCCUGCCAAGUUUGACCAGAGGUGGAAAAUAAUGUCUAAACUUUUGACUCGGUGCUAUUCUGAAUAAUUCAAGUCAAUGCAACAUGAGCCUGCUCUCUAACGUGUACCACUCUUUGGACAGCCCCUACGCCUAUUUGAAUCAAUAAUAUGUAUGAAAACUGUUUCAGGGACAAGAAGUAUUCAGUUUGCUCCUGCCUUGUCGAACAUCUAAAUGGAGCUCUAGAGUAUCUUAUUGAAUGUAAUUGUAAAAUAUGUUCUCUUAAGUCCAGUAUGUUCAAACACACCCAAAUGUCCUCAUCUUUAAUGUGAAAGUUACCCAAUUUGUUUAUAUUAAGUUAUUGACAACUAUACCUUUGAGUUAUUCAUGACAUAUGUGCAGAUAUAAUAAGGUGCCUUAAGAGAUUUGCAAUUAGUAUUUCAGUUAAAUAAAAAAAUAAAAAUU
This is a long non-coding RNA of Etheostoma cragini (Arkansas darter), 1210 nucleotides long. RefSeq lists it as uncharacterized. The record is from RefSeq and is a predicted model, not a curated record. The transcript has 2 exons. NCBI's taxonomy places the organism in Eukaryota, Metazoa, Chordata, Actinopteri, Perciformes, Percidae.